Molecule: ribosomal RNA, 502 nt
Filed under: uncultured bacterium
Lineage: Bacteria
Description: partial 16S ribosomal RNA
Rfam family: Bacterial small subunit ribosomal RNA
Source: RNAcentral
GAUUAACGCUGGCGGCGUGCCUAACACAUGCAAGUCGAGCGGCAGCGAGUUUUACACUGAAUUCUGGAAGCUUCUAGUUGAAAGAGAAGAUUUAUUCAAGAAUUUUGUGUAAAAUGUCGGCGAGCGGCGGACGGCUGAGUAACGCGUGGGAACGUACCCCAAAGUGAGGGAUAACGCAUCGAAAGGUGUGCUAAUACCGCAUAUGGUCUUCGGAUUAAAGCCUUCGGGCGCUUUGGGAACGGCCUGCGUAAGAUUAGAUAGUUGGUGGGGUAAUGGCCUACCAAGUCGACGAUCGUUAACUGGUUUGAGAGGAUGAUCAGUCAGACUGGAACUGAGACACGGUCCAGACUCCUACGGGAGGCAGCAGUGAGGAAUCUUCCACAAUGGGCGAAAGCCUGAUGGAGCAACGCCGCGUGCAGGAUGAAGGCCUUCGGGUUGUAAACUGCUUUUAUAAGUGAGGAUUAUGACAGUAACUGAUGAAUAAGGAGCGGCUAACUACGUG